Long non-coding RNA from Papaver somniferum (opium poppy), 1578 nucleotides. RefSeq lists it as uncharacterized. The record is from RefSeq and is a predicted model, not a curated record. Lineage: Eukaryota; Viridiplantae; Streptophyta; Magnoliopsida; Ranunculales; Papaveraceae. The transcript has 4 exons.
UAUUUCCUUCCCCAAAUCAAAACCCCAACACAUCCUAAAUCUCAAUUUUAUUUCACCUUAAAAAUCAAGACCCUGCUAAAUUGUAAUCAGUAAGAAUACAGUGAGUGAUGGAUUCAAGAUGUAGUUUUGUAUGGGAUUCCGGUGGAGGAUGGAAUUUUCGGUGGAAAUACAAAGACAACAACGUUAUGGUAUCUCCUCUCAAAACUAAGUAAUCACCCCAAGAAUGGAUUCGGGCCUCGAUCAAUCGACAAUGAUUAUUAUUAUGAUGGAUUGAUGGGAUGAUGAAUGGUGUAAUUUCCCAUGGCAUUAUAAUAUGCUCACAAUCAUGAUCACCACUGAACACCGAGACAAUGGGAGAGGCUCAACACUUACUCAAAUCCCAAUAGAGUUGUCAUUCUAUCUGGUUUUACUGGGUUAUAUAAAAGGUUUCAUACGAGAUUGUGAAGACAUGUUUAAUGAUACAUGUGUUCAAACUGUGAGAAUUAAGGUGUAUGGAGGAACACUUCUAUUCUGGCUGCUUCGUAUCCUGUUGAAUACUAGUCAACACAAUGCAUCCACAAAGCCUCAUGCACUCUUCCGUUCAACGUCAUGUGUCCUUAUAUGAGGGUACUAUUACCCGAAGAGGAAAGUUAAGGAGAAGGCUAGAAACCAGAAUAUAUUCUGUUCAGUUCCAAAUAAGCAAUAGCAUUUCCCAUCUAAAUCCUAGUUCAUAUCUCUCUCAAAUCAAACCCCUUACAAACCCUGAUUCUCAUUUAAACUUUUUCCGACCAAGACCUUUAAGUAAUCUAGUGAUGGGUUCCCAAUUGAGUUUCGGUGUUGUAUGGGAUUUCGGUGGAGCAACCUUUACUCACAUUUCCUCCCAAAACUAAGAUGAUGCUACAGAGCUGCUUUGAUAGUGUAAAGCACCGUCCCUGAUUGUCCCAAAAUGGCACAAAGAUCCUGAGAACGGACAAGUACACGGAUAAAAUAUGGACUUAAUUUUGAAUUGUGCAGAAAAAAUAAGUGUAUGUCACUAAUUUUGAAACUCAAAACAGGAUAGACUCUGUACUAAAAAAAAGUGUUUAUAUGCAUGUAUUUGUUAGAAAUUGAAAUAAUUUUAACUUUGAGUAAUAUUUGCGGAGAUAUACGAGCAUAGUGAUGUUGCUCGUAUAUAGCUCCUAGAAUUCUAUUAGUGAAGGUGGUGAAGCAAGGACUUUGUAACUUGAAGUUUCUAAUUGUAUUGAUACUUGCUUGCUUACAAAUGGUGUACAAGAUGCCUAUUUAUAGGCUUACAUAAACCAUUAGUUCUUUCCAUAUUCUUCUAGAAUUCUCCUAUCUAGAAUAUUCUUUUACAAUUGAUAUAAACUAGUGUUCUCUAGAUUCUUCUAAUCUAGAACAUUCCUUUGGACAAUAACAACUUUUAAUCUCAACCAACUUUGGCAACUCUAGUAUAUUCUAGAGUACUUAUUUUCUACACUUCUCUACAUUUGUCUAGAUCAUUCUAGACCAUUGUAAAUUACAUGUUCCAACACCCUCUCUUAAUUUGUAAUGGUCUCUUAUUUUGAUCUCACCCAAUCCUAACUCGCCCUUAGCUGCUUA